This 458-nucleotide long non-coding RNA is filed under the name Vulpes vulpes (red fox). RNAcentral's name for it is "lncRNA (ENSVVUG00000025316.1)". Lineage: Eukaryota; Metazoa; Chordata; Mammalia; Carnivora; Canidae. The record is from RNAcentral.
AACAGAAGAGGCAGUUAAAAAAAAAUUCAGAGUCAGCUCAGAGACUGUUUGAAAACAAUUCCUGUCUCAGGAGACAGUUUUGUUUUCAUUAAUAGCCAAAUAUUCCUAAACAAAUGAAGGAAGAAUAAAGCCAGAUAAAGAUCUGGACGGGAUGCCUGGAAUUGCUGUAGCUAUCUUGUAUCCAAGAAGGAAGUAGCUUCUAAAGACAAGUGAUAGAACAAUGAGAAGAAACCUGAGUCCUCAAGGAACUUAUUGAGAUAAUUCACCAUAUCUUGCUGCAUCUACUCCAGACUGGAGUGAGAACCAGUCUUUGACAAAGGGUAGCACUUACAUAUCAAAAGAAACAGAGAACUGGCAUUGUCCUCGAAGGUGACAUUUGAAUGAAGUCCAAUGUCUGUAAAGAGGCCAUCUGCUGGAGGUAAGGACUUAUGAUUAUUGGAAAUGUUUGAAGAGUGUUA